UGUGGGAGUAGAGUGCACAUCUAGAUGGAAUCUAUCGAUCUUGAUAGGGAGGAGUAGUCCUAUAAGAUUUGAGAGGCUAAAUCAGAGGGUCUGUGGCCACAGUAGUAUAAUGGAUGGAAAAGAAUUUUUAUGAGAAUCACAAUUGGACUUGAGCUGAUCGAAUCUAUCAUAUGACUGAUGAUGAGGUUUGACGAUUUAUCCAUGACUUGCCAUCUAGUUGGAACUCACGAUAGAGAGA
RNAcentral lists this long non-coding RNA (238 nucleotides) under Elaeis guineensis (African oil palm). RNAcentral's name for it is "long non-coding RNA (EGUI_LNC051502)". The record is from RNAcentral. Lineage: Eukaryota; Viridiplantae; Streptophyta; Magnoliopsida; Arecales; Arecaceae.